CGAGUAAGAGCUAGACGAGUUUUUUUUUUAAUUUUUGAAUGUUUUUAAUAAAUAAUUUUAUUACUAAACCCACCCAAAGAUAAAUAUUUUCAUGAUACGAACCUUUUGGCCACAUCAUCCCGUCUGUUGCAAGAGACUACACUGUCACAUAGAGUAGUUGGUGUGACAACAUUAUCUUACCAAGAUAGUGGGACAUCAUGUCAUCCAGCUUAAUGUGAUAGCUCUCUUUAAUACUAGGGAUGAAAUGGUCAGAAAAAAAAGGUUUAUGUCUAAAAUAUUUUCUUUCGAGGUUUAGUACUAAAAAUAUUUAUUACAAAUAUUUAAAAAUAAAAGAAAUCCGAGCUAAGCACUACAUCGUCUAAUUUAGGCGUCCAUGGAUCCACGCCACCUCUAGCUCAAAACUACUCCAGAUUGUUGUGUUCUGCUAAAUAAAAGGGAUAUGUAUUCGCUCUAUAUUGAGUCGACGGAUC
RNAcentral lists this long non-coding RNA (470 nucleotides) under Oryza brachyantha (malo sina). RNAcentral's name for it is "long non-coding RNA (OBRA_LNC002277)". Lineage: Eukaryota; Viridiplantae; Streptophyta; Magnoliopsida; Poales; Poaceae. The record is from RNAcentral.